This 305-nucleotide ribosomal RNA is filed under the name uncultured bacterium. RNAcentral's name for it is "bacterial SSU rRNA". It matches the Rfam family "Bacterial small subunit ribosomal RNA", at positions 335 to 638 of the family's 1533-position model. The record is from RNAcentral.
UUUCCUACGGGAGGCAGCAGUGAGGAAUAUUGGUCAAUGGACGCAAGUCUGAACCAGCCAUGCCGCGUGCAGGAAGACGGCUCUAUGAGUUGUAAACUGCUUUUGUACGAGGGUAAAUCCCGAUACGUGUAUCGGGUUGAAAGUAUCGUACGAAUAAGGAUCGGCUAACUCCGUGCCAGCAGCCGCGGUAAUACGGAGGAUUCAAGCGUUAUCCGGAUUUAUUGGGUUUAAAGGGUGCGUAGGCGGAAUAUCAAGUCAGCGGUAAAAAUUCGGGUCUCAACCCCGUCGUGCCGUUGAAACUGAUG